CCGUGAAGGUUCGCCCAAACGCGAUUAAUUGGGAAUGGAGUGAGAAUCUCCAACUGUCCCGCAGCAGUGAGCACCCUUAUAGCCUUGUGACACAAGAGCCAUUGCCUGAUUAGACGAGAAGGCGUUGCAAGGAGGUGUAAGUCUGAAGACCAGCCUUAUCCGG
This 163-nucleotide non-coding RNA is filed under the name uncultured Prevotella sp. Lineage: Bacteria; Pseudomonadati; Bacteroidota; Bacteroidia; Bacteroidales; Prevotellaceae. The record is from RNAcentral.